UACGGAGGGUGCAAACGUUGCUCGGAAUCAUUGGGCGUAAAGCGUACGUAGGCGGUUCGUUAAGUCGGGUGUGAAAGCCCCGGGCUCAACCCGGGAAGUGCAUUCGAAACUGGCGAGCUGGAGUACGGAAGAGGGUCUCGGAAUUCCCGGUGUAGAGGUGAAAUUCGUAGAUAUCGGGAGGAACACCAGUGGCGAAGGCGGAGACCUGGGCCGAUACUGACGCUGAGGUACGAAAGCGUGGGGAGCAAACAGG
Molecule: ribosomal RNA, 253 nt
Filed under: uncultured bacterium
Lineage: Bacteria
Description: partial 16S ribosomal RNA
Rfam family: Bacterial small subunit ribosomal RNA
Source: RNAcentral